CGGAUCCCACAGGCGAAGGAGCACGCGGGGCCGCCCCGGCCGGAGCUGCAAUCCGGCACCAGGGGGCGCUGCGGGGCUUGCCGUCGCCGGAAUCCCGCAGCCUCUGCAGGGUUCCAGUGCGUUAAAUUUGCAGCGCGGUCCGGCGGCAACCGUGGCGUCCAGUGAAUGUGGGAUGUGCCAGCGUUCACCAAUCGUCCCGCGGUGCUGAGGGGCAGGCAGCGGGGGUCUCCGUCAUUUUUCUCGUGUCUGCAUCUCCUCUGGAGUUGAGGAAACGGCCCUGCCACUCCCGGAGUUCUGCCCUGGCGGCCAGCUCCAGUUUUUUGAGACACUGAGAACAGAGUGACAUUUCCGGGGCUGUGGCUUGUGGAUGUGCACCCAGCUGAAAGUCCCUUGGCAUAACCGGAGCCAGCGCCUUUCCCAUGUGUUCUGCAGAGCUCCAAGCAGUCCCCUCUGCAUCACCACAGCUUUCCUCCUGCUUCGGACAUCUUGGGCUCCGACCGAGCACUGUACCGCUGUACACUGUCGCACAGCACAGCUGUGACACUGUCCGGCAGACAGAUUAUACUCUGUCUACUUAUACAAAAAAUGUACGGUAAAACACCAUGCCACAUUGUCCCGAAGCAGCCGCACACGUCUAGCGCUUGCCUCAUCUCUUGGUGACGUAAGCAGGCCAGCCUGAGUGACUGACCAUCUCGGUCCAUGAAGGUACGCGCUUGAUGGUCACACAAUGAGGAAACUGGCUAACUCCGCUAGGUGACAGAUGCAUGC
Long non-coding RNA from Chinchilla lanigera (long-tailed chinchilla), 768 nucleotides. RefSeq lists it as uncharacterized. The transcript is spliced from 4 exons. NCBI's taxonomy places the organism in Eukaryota, Metazoa, Chordata, Mammalia, Rodentia, Chinchillidae. The record is from RefSeq and is a predicted model, not a curated record.